UACGUAGGUGACAAGCGUUGUCCGGAUUUACUGGGCGUAAAGAGCUCGUAGGCGGCUUGUCACGUCGGGUGUGAAAGCCCGGGGCUUAACCCCGGGUCUGCAUUCGAUACGGGCUAGCUAGAGUGUGGUAGGGGAGAUCGGAAUUCCUGGUGUAGCGGUGAAAUGCGCAGAUAUCAGGAGGAACACCGGUGGCGAAGGCGGAUCUCUGGGCCAUUACUGACGCUGAGGAGCGAAAGCGUGGGGAGCGAACAGG
Molecule: ribosomal RNA, 253 nt
Filed under: uncultured bacterium
Lineage: Bacteria
Description: partial 16S ribosomal RNA
Rfam family: Bacterial small subunit ribosomal RNA
Source: RNAcentral